UGGGAAGCCAGAUGGGCUGUCUACCUGA
RNAcentral lists this non-coding RNA (28 nucleotides) under Homo sapiens (human). Lineage: Eukaryota; Metazoa; Chordata; Mammalia; Primates; Hominidae. The record is from RNAcentral.